This 460-nucleotide ribosomal RNA is filed under the name uncultured bacterium. RNAcentral's name for it is "partial 16S ribosomal RNA". It matches the Rfam family "Bacterial small subunit ribosomal RNA", at positions 338 to 795 of the family's 1533-position model. The record is from RNAcentral.
CCUACGGGUGGCAGCAGUGAGGAAUAUUGGUCAAUGGGCGGAAGCCUGAACCAGCCAAGUAGCGUGCAGGAUGACGGCUCUACGGGUUGUAAACUGCUUUUAUACGGGAAUAACGCGCCUUACGUGUAGGGCUUUGCAUGUACCGUUUGAUUACGGACCGGCUAAUUCUGUGCCAGCAGCCGCGGUAAUCCGGAAGGUCCGGGCGUUAUCCGGAUUUAUUCGGUGUAAAGGGAGCGUAGGCCGCAUGUCAAGCGUGCUGUGAAAGGUCCGGGCUCAACCCGGGGCUUGCAGCGCGAACUGGCGUGCUAGAGUCCGCGGAAGGCAGGCGGAAUUCGUGGUGUAGCGGUGAAAUGCGUAGAUAUGACGAAGAACCCCGAUUGCGAAGGCAGCUUGCUGCAGCGGAACUGACGCUGAUGCUCGAAAGCGCGGGUAUCGAACAGGAUUAGAUACCCGGGUAGUC